UACGGGGGGGGCAAGCGUUGUUCGGAAUUACUGGGCGUAAAGGGCGCGUGGGCGGUCGUGACAAGUCACUUGUGAAAUCUCCGGGCUUAACUCGGAACGGUCAAGUGAUACUGUCGGACUAGAGUACAGAAGGGGCAACUGGAAUUCUCGGUGUAGCGGUGAAAUGCGUAGAUAUCGAGAGGAACACCUGCGGCGAAGGCGGGUUGCUGGGCUGAUACUGACGCUGAGGCGCGAAAGCCAGGGGAGCGAACGGG
Molecule: ribosomal RNA, 254 nt
Filed under: uncultured bacterium
Lineage: Bacteria
Description: partial 16S ribosomal RNA
Rfam family: Bacterial small subunit ribosomal RNA
Source: RNAcentral